CUAAUCAAUUCCAUUUUUGGUUUUCCUCCCCUAGCACUGGUUCUAAGGUGGUCACUGCUCAGGAGUUUCUGCUCUGGUUUUAGGUGAUUGCUGAGUAGGGAUCAAAUCUUCGGUCCUUAUCUCCUCAACUGCACCCACAGUGUUGGGUUGGAGGCAGGAAGCCCCUGACUCUUAGCCCCUGACAUGGCCGAGAUGCGCCCCCCUCAGAGGCCGCAUUCGUAGGAAGAAGAAAUGCAUGUGUGGAUCUGAUAAGGUCCCAGUGAUAUCUGGAGAAGAUGUCCUAUUAGUGAGGAUCAGCGAUGUUUACCAUUUCAGUGCACAGAAGCAAGCCAAGAUAACAGUCGGAGAGUCUGUGGACAGAAGUUCAUGGAGAUCACUGCUUGACAGGUCAGGGUAAAGGUCUCUUUCUUUCAAAAUAUGUGAAGGGUCAGGAAACGUGUGUACCAGGUGUUUUGUGUUCAUGGCUGCCUGGGAAAGAUAAUUCUGUCUGCUCGAUAAGAACAUUGUGCUCCACACAUCAGGUUGUUUUUUCCAACAGCUAUUUUCUGCCUAUAAAAAUGAGCGCUGCUGGCUCCCAACUUCUUUCCACAAAUCCCUCUGGCUACAAACAAUAACAAAAGGUAUCUUAUAUUUAUACAAAGCUGUCCUCGGAAAAGCUCAAGGACCUGAACGAAGCUUUUUUUUUUUUUUUUUUUUUUUUAAUAUAAGGAGCUCUUGUAUAAUCCCCUAGGGGGAAAGGAGCAGAGUGUGACAAUUGUCACUCCCAGCGAACAAAACCGAAAACUGAGUUCCCACCACACGCCACAGCGAAGGGCACCCCCGGCACAGGAAGUCCGUUUUCCCUACUUCCGGCCCAGGGUUCUGCACUCGGCGCAGCACCGCCUCGUUAGAAACCCCGGAUGAUCUGGAAACCCAGAGGAGACCACUAGCAAAGAAAGAUGGGGAGAGAAAAUUCCCACCGCCUGAAGUGACUGUCUCACAGCCUUCAGUGACUCUUGUUCUCACUGAUCAGGAUUCUGCAACCCCUGGAGAAAGAAAAGGCAAGGAUGCCUGGAAAUAGCUGCAUCUAAUCAGCCCCCAUCCCAAGCAAUCAACUGAAGUCCAGGAAAUUCCAUAUGUAACCAGAAGAAUAGACUUCCUGGAGCAUUUUGCCACAGUUAAGAUUAGCGGAAACAGACCCCCAUCAGAGCUCCUAACAAAGAACUAAAGGUCUUAUCCACCCUUCCAGAAGGAUUAUGUGGUUGACAGGAUGGCAGCACACUGAAGACAGGAACUCUUGUUUUAUUCAGCUUUAAAACACAACUCUAUAUUCACUGCCAAUGUCCUGAGCCCCGGUGUUGUAUACCAUCCCUCACUGCUGUUGUGGAGUCCGGAGAUUUAAAGAAGUGUACAUGAGCCAAUGAUUCAAUUCCAGUGGAAAAAGAAAGAAACUGAGGUGCGGAGAGGUUGCCCGACUUGUGCAAAGUCAUGUGACCAGUUGGGGCAGAACCUAGAUGUGAAUCGUGAAUUUUGGUGGCAGACUCUCCGCUGUGGGCUCCUUCACAGCAGCAGUGAAGUAGUUGAGUAGAUGGAUGGAGGAAAUGGAAGAAGAUGUUUCACAUCAGAAAAAACAGUGUCUAUUUUAUGAUAGUCUAUGCAAUCGACUUAUUUACUGUACUUACUGCUUAUUGUCUACUUCUCUGAACUAAAUAUAAAUUCACUGGGGGCUUGAUGCCUUUUGAGUGUGAAAAGGGGAUGCAACAAGCUAAGUUUGGGUGCUUGCAGGCCACAACAACUCAGAGAAGCAGGAGCUAUCUUGCCAGUUGGCAGGACUUGUGGUGAGUGCACAGGGUCAAGGAUGCACCGGGUGGGGAGCGCUGUCUCAGCCAGAUGAUGCAUUACUGUCUCAAAGAUUAUUUUCAUGUCCCGUUGGCAGUGGACUCUGAUACCAUCAAAUGCACCAUGAAAUGUGCAGGACCCAUCCUUGCUCCAGGGUCCUCAGAGGUAUUCACCAUAUUCAUUACAUUCCUCUUGGACACACAGAAAUGAAGCAAAACAUAAGGAAUUGGCCUCUGAUAGUUAUCAAGGAUCAAAGAGAAAAGGUCUGGUGUCAGUAGGCAGAUGUAUCAACAAAUGCUUUUAAGAUGAAGGUGGAUUUCUGAGCCCUGAGAACUGUCCCUUGGUAUGAACUCUCAUGAAGUCAGAAGAUGGCAAGCCAGAAAAUGUGGACCAUGCUCCAAUCAACAAGGUCAGCAAAGAAUUCCCAUGCAGGAAGUCAUCUAUUUUUAAUAUUGCAAUUGCUUUCCUGUUUUCCUUUAUUCGGUAUGUUACCACAGGAGCCCCAUUCCAAGAGUUUUGUUUGAAUGUU
Long non-coding RNA from Marmota monax (woodchuck), 2347 nucleotides. RefSeq lists it as uncharacterized. The transcript has 7 exons. The record is from RefSeq and is a predicted model, not a curated record. NCBI's taxonomy places the organism in Eukaryota, Metazoa, Chordata, Mammalia, Rodentia, Sciuridae.